Molecule: long non-coding RNA, 1222 nt
Filed under: Homo sapiens (human)
Lineage: Eukaryota; Metazoa; Chordata; Mammalia; Primates; Hominidae
Description: HSALNT0333958
Source: RNAcentral
UCCCUGGCCCAGCUCUGCAAGCCACCCACAGUUCUUUCUCAUGACGAGGACGUCCCCACACUCAUCCUCAGAUGGCAGGAAGAUCUCUGACGCUGAGCACAGUGCCAAACCUAUAUAGAAACUCAUUUGGGAUAUGGAGGAGAAUAUGCCACCAGUUCUCCAAAGUGGAGGGGUGAAGCCAUGCCUCCCUUUCCCUCACCUGUGUAAACUGGGUAUGAAGACAGAGGACACCAGGAAAGAAGCCAGAGAAAGAGGAACAGUGAUGAAGCCAACCAUCAUACCAGUUGAUUCUAAGUGCUGGGAGCCUCUGUCUACACUUACUCUCCACCUCGCUCAGGCUCCAUAGGCAUGGUGUCUACCUGCUGGCCCAUCCUGGGAAGUCAUCCCAACGUGACAGAAUGGAAAAGAGAGGGCAUGGAAGACUAGUUCAUAGGUAAGGGCAAGAGGGACCUCGCAGAUGGUAAGGUGCUCUGUGGAGAAUCAGUUUGUCCAACUGAUAAACAGAAAACAGUACAAAGAAAUGUGCUAUCACAGAACGAUCUUAAGCACUGGAACCAGUCAGUCCCAGAUUCAAAUCCAGCUCUACCCUUCUCUAGGGAUGGUUUUCUUAUUCUCCAUCUCCUCCCCCUUAAAAUGGGGAUGAUAAUACCUCCUCAUGAGAGGCUGUGAGUAGCUGAUGGGAUAAUUUGUGUAAAUUGGCUAAUAAAGUAUCUGGUAAACAGUAGGGUCCCAAUACAGGAAGCUUGAGAUGGUAUUAAAUCACUGGUCAGGCAAUAGAUGCUCGAGACAGUAUGACAGCCACUAGCCACAUGUGGUUAUUUAAUUUAAAAUUCACUUCCUCAGUUGCACUAGCCACAGGCCAAAUGCGCAAUAGCCACAUGUGGCUAGUGGCUACCAUGGCGGAAAGCAUAGAUAUGGAACAUUUCCAACACCACAGAAAUAGCACUGCUAUUAGCACACCACAGGAUAGCACUGCUCUGGGGUUCUGAAUAAGAGAUACUCCCUGGGUCCAGCAGCACGGAUACUGGUCUGGAACUGCUCCCCUGACCAUAUCAGAGGUAUGUGCCUGUGACUGAAUCAGCUGGUGCUUCACUAGAGACUGUGUCAGACUAUAUGGGCUCCCAAUUCUUUCCUUUGCCUCCCAUUCAGUGCUCACCAGUACUAGAGUGGAUCUUGAUGCUGAUCACCACAAACCCAGGCCUCCCAGCAGAUUCUUUUUUUU